Small nucleolar RNA from Medicago truncatula (barrel medic), 97 nucleotides. It matches the Rfam family "Small nucleolar RNA Z43". Rfam says of the family: Z43 is a member of the C/D class of snoRNA which contain the C (UGAUGA) and D (CUGA) box motifs. Most of the members of the box C/D family function in directing site-specific 2'-O-methylation of substrate RNAs. The record is from Rfam. Lineage: Eukaryota; Viridiplantae; Streptophyta; Magnoliopsida; Fabales; Fabaceae.
AGACACUGAUGAAUACUGUGACAGGUCUCGUUCGUCGUAAUGGUAAAUUUUUACCUUGCCGACCAUUCUGUUAUAUCACCACCCAUAUUCUGAGUCU